CUAAAUUUAGCAACAACAUUCUCAUCAUUCCCACAAUUCAAUCAAAAUUCAUGGGUUUAACAUCAUCAUUUUCAUCAUUCACACAGUUCAAUCAAAUUUCAUGGGUUUAACAUCAACAUUUCAUCAUUUCAACAAUUCAAUCAAAUUUCAUAGGUUUAACAACAACAUUUUCAUCAUUCACACAAUUCAAUCAAAUUUCAUAGGUUUAACAACAACACUUUCAUCAUUCCCNNN
Molecule: long non-coding RNA, 234 nt
Filed under: Lathyrus oleraceus (garden pea)
Lineage: Eukaryota; Viridiplantae; Streptophyta; Magnoliopsida; Fabales; Fabaceae
Description: Pisum sativum (pea) long non-coding RNA (PSAT_LNC040024)
Source: RNAcentral